GCCGGCAAUUGACCCGCUUAGCCACGCGCUCGAUCGACGUAGUUAUUAGCCAAGAAACUGGACAAGGGGGGGCCUAUGAAUUUGCAUUAUAAAUGUACAAUAUUAUUAUUAGGUUUUUUAAUUUUUCUCGCUUCGCUUUCCAUGCACAAAUUCAAUUAACUGAAAUCUUUCUGGUUACACUUUCUUUGGGUUAAGUGGCAUAUCGAGUAUUUCUGUGGCGUGCAAAUCACUUAUGCAAAUGCUCAAAAAACAGUUUUGGGCAUAUUUAAUGUUCGACGGCUACUGAUUUUCGCUAAGCGAACAAUACUUCGUGAUUGAGUCUGCAAAAUGGGUAGGAGGAAAAUGGGCAGAGGGGGCUCCAAAAACUGGAUUUCUACCACUGACAUGAGUCACUUAACAAUAUCGUGAAGCCAAGAAUAAAGCAAAAACUCUAACAAUGUUGAAUUGGCCAUAAAACAUGAGAAGAAUUUGUUUAUUUUCAUAAGAAUUUCUGUGUUACCUGUGUUACUUAUUUCUAGGUUCGUUUAUAAAGUUUUAGAUAAUUAUUUUCACUUUAUGUUAAGCGUGGUAUUGUAGGUUAUAAUUUUUUUAGUUUAAUAAUUUUUUUAAUCUACUGUUUUUUAAACGACAUGCAAUGUGUGGUUAAUAGUCUAUAUAGAAAACUAAAUUUUUUGGGUUUAAAGAUAUAAAUUUCUUAUUUUAAUCUUCCGGUACUUUAAAUUCUAGCUGCAUUUUAUUAGUUACUGUCUCCCAACUUAUUCAGUCGUAUGCAAAUCCGGUAGGCAAACUUGGUAAGCUUUUCAGAACCCAAAACUAAGAGCAGACGCUGGGCAAAAUCCAUCUUAAUCCCCGCAACUAAAAAAAUAGAGAAAACUGUGGGAAAUAGAGAAUAAAAGUGCCAACAAAUAGUUUGCAAAACGUUGUCUAGACGUGCAAUUUUGGUCCUGACACCGGGAACCUCCUCUGCUGUCGAGGCGAAUUUUCCGCUUACACACACACAUAUAAACACACCUACAAGCAGACGCACACCACCGUACGUUUUGAGGGUGUGCCGGCUGCUGUCUGAUGAAAGAAAACUACCCCCAAAACGCGGAAGGCAUAUACAAUCCAUCGAUAUCCGAGUAUCCGAAUUGAAUUGAAAUCAGCAAAAACUAAAUCGGGCUUAGGAGGCGGACAGAAAAAGCAGCUGAGGCUAGCUAAAAAAUUUGCUUUUAUUAUACUUUUUCGUGCAUUUUAAAAUCCCUGCUCAGGCAGGUAAGCUUAAGCUUUAGCGGGGCGUGUCAACGCCCUGGCCUAAACGGGGGAAAAAACAGUCAGAAAAACAGCUGUGAGGCGGAGAAUCAUAGACAAGCGGAAAAAACAAAAUAAUAAUAAUGUGGAGACCCGGUACUUGGAACUCGAUGGAUCGAAGCGGAAUGUGGGGCCUCCGAAACAGAACACAAACUACGAAGAAAAUAAAAACAACAAGAAAGCCACGAUAUAUCCGAGAAAUAUAUAUAUUGCUGCUUUGAGGCGCACGCUGCUGGCCGUGCUCAUAUGGCAGCAAUUUACAUAAAACCCGCAAAACCAGUUUUUUUUUAUAAAGUUUCAAGUUCCAGCUUGGUUGGUAGAGGAACAGAGACGGCACAAUGCAGAAGUAGAAAGAGACAGACUUUAUAAGCGCGCGUUCUUAAAACAUUUGCCUGCACUUUGGCUUAUGGAAAGCAAUUUGUAAAAUUCUCACUGCUCGACCGUUUGGAGUGGAUUUCCUAUGGAAGAUAUUUGAUUUUCUAACAAGAAAUUUACGCCAGGUUACUUGAUAAAACGAAAGAUGGAGCUUGUGGACAGAAUAUACAUAGAAGGAAUGAUAAAAAUUUGUAUUUACUAGGUUGUUGAUUUAUGUUGAUAAACUUAGAAACUUGGAAUCCUAAGUGAUUAAUAAAACACUAUUUUUUCGAUCAAAA
Molecule: long non-coding RNA, 1943 nt
Organism: Drosophila ficusphila
Lineage: Eukaryota; Metazoa; Arthropoda; Insecta; Diptera; Drosophilidae
Exons: 2
Source: RefSeq, a predicted model, not a curated record